This 806-nucleotide long non-coding RNA is filed under the name Androctonus crassicauda. The record is from RNAcentral. Lineage: Eukaryota; Metazoa; Arthropoda; Arachnida; Scorpiones; Buthidae.
GGCGGCUUGUUGUGCACUGUGUUGGUUUCCGGCUGCCUGUGUGCCUUCUUGGUUGCACAGAGCCAUGGGGUUGGUGGUUCCUUCGAAUCUCUGUUGUUCGGAAUGUUUUCGGAGUUUCUUCUUUUCUCUAUUUCUAAAGAGCCUACACAUACUGCACGGAUUCAUACUGCAGGGAUUAUGAAAAAGAAGUAGAAUAUAUUCUAGAAUAAGGAAAAAAGCAUGAGUAUUCAAAAGACUUUAUUUUUCCAAUCAAGAGAAGUAUAGAAACAGCUUUAAAUAAGGCAUGAGAGCACCACAAUAAAAGUAAUGCAGAUAUACAAUGCUGCAUGAAAGCUCAGAAGACAAUUACAUUGCAGUACCAUACUACUUAGAAAAAUGCCCAGCAAUUAAGAAAGCGGUAAAACUAAUGAAAAAGAAACUUACCCUGAAGAGAGACUCUUCUGUGUUUUCGUAUUUAAGAAAUAGCAAAGCUAAAUUAGAAGACAAGUGUAAAGCAGGGGUUUAUAGUAUUACAGUGAGGGAUAGGAAUACUAAACGAAAUGAAAUACAUCAGGGUCACAGGUCGCACUUUAGCCAAACAAGUCAGCGAGCACAGAAGUGACAUAAAAGAAGGGAAAACCUCUACUGCACUAGCCGAAGAAUACUAUGCAUUGGAUGUUGAAAUUCUGUGGGACCAGGCUAGAAUAAUCAAGAGGACAGACAACCUUGAGCAAGGCCUGAUUAGGGAGUCUAGAAAUAGAGAAAAGAAGAAAUUCCGAAAACAUCCUGGGUGGCAGAGAUUCAAAGGAAAUACUGAUCCCAUAGCU